GUGUGCUAGCUUAGUGUACAGAACAGAAUGAGCAUGAGUGAAGUUUUGAUGUUGCAAAACUUGUGUAGAUUGAGAGACGUGGACUCCCUUUGACACCGGAGUCAUUGGCGAGUAUUCCGCCUUUUGCAUCCAUAACAUUCAAUACUGAUGAUGGUAAUGGUGGAGAUUGCAAGCCUGAAGUAGCUAAGACUGGUUUGGGCUCAUCUGCUGCUAUGACAACUGCUGUAGUUGGUGCUUUACUUCAUUACCUUGGGUAGCGUUUGUUUCGGAGACAGGACACAGAGACAUGGACAGCACAUCUUUAAAAAGCGUUUGGAAGCAAAGACAUGGACACUGAACAUAUUGUCUCCGGGACAGUUUUUUAUACUUUUGUGUCCACUCUUUUACGAAGGACAAUGAUGGACACGGGAUUUGGAAGAGGGACACGGACUGUUUUUAUGAAUUUUUUUCUUUUUUGUCCAUGGUGCUAUUUUUUAUUAUUCCACUGUUACUCCUUCUUAUUUUUCUUAUUUUGCGUUGUUCUCAGAAAGUACUUUUUUUUUUUUUCUCCAUGCUCUUUUUCUAUUUCUAUGUUUUCCUUCUUUCUAUUUUUUUUCUUUAGGUACUUUCUCUUUUUUAUAGAAAUUUUUAUUGGACUGGCUAGUUUCUUUUUUCUUAUCAUUCUUACUUCAACAUCAUUUUAACCUUAUAUUAUAUUAUUUGAUUUGUAAUAAAAAUAAUAACAAAAAUAAUUAGUAAUAAAUUUAAAAAUAAAAUAAUUAUAUUUAUAAAUUUUAUUUUAAUAUAAAUACUAUUAUAUAAUUUUUUAUUAAAAUUUUUGACUGCUUCAAAUAUUUUUUUCAAGUUCCUACUGUCUGUACUCCUAUGUACUCUCAUUCUUUAUUAAAUUAGUUUAUAUUAAAAAAUUUGGAAUCACAUGGCUAUUUUGGUCAUUUCAUAUAAUAUUUUAGUCUUGUCCAUGUGUAUCCAAACAUAAUACUGGACAUUACAUUAGUGUCAUAUCCAUCGUAUCCAAACACGAUACACAAAACAUAAUUUUUAAUAUUUCUGUCCUAUUGUCUUUGUUUUAGUGUCCUGUUCUGUCGUGUCUCUACAAACAAACACUACCUUGGUGUCAUAAAGCUUUCCUCUUCUAAAGAUCAACAGGAUAGGAAGGAUUACACAGAUAUUGAUUUGUUGCAUAAAAUAGCUCAAACUGCUCAUUGUAUUGCCCAAGGAAAAGUUGGCAGUGGGUUUGAUGUUAGUUCAGCUGUGUAUGGCAGUCAACGUUAUGUGCGGUUUUCACCGGAAGAAAUGUUUUCACCGGAAGUGAUUUCUUCCGUACAAGUAUUCAGCACUUACCCUUUUAAUGUGUCUUGUGUUUUAGGCAAAAAAUGCUUUAAUUAUGUUGUUUUGCUGACAUUGCAGGUUGCAGCACAAGCAUUGCCUGCACCAGAAGUUAUCAGUGACAUUCUGAAUGGAAACUGGGACCAUGAGAGGACUGAGUUCUCUAUACCACCUUUGAUGACUCUGGUAAGCAAUUUAAAUCUCUUAUACCCCCACAUUUUCCUUUUACUUCAG
This 1560-nucleotide long non-coding RNA is filed under the name Arachis ipaensis. RNAcentral describes it as "long non-coding RNA (AIPA_LNC001679)". Lineage: Eukaryota; Viridiplantae; Streptophyta; Magnoliopsida; Fabales; Fabaceae. The record is from RNAcentral.